GAUGAAGAACGUAGCGAAAUGCGAUAAGUAAUGUGAAUUGCAGAAUUCAGUGAAUCAUCGAAUCUUUGAACGCUCAUUGCGACCGUCAGUAUUCUGGCGGGCAUGCCUGUUCGAGCGUCAUUACGCCCCUCAAGUCCCCUGUGGACUUGGUGUUGGGGAUCGGCGAGGCUGGUUUUCCAGCACAGCCGUCCCUUAAAUUAAUUGGCGGUCUCGCCGUGGCCCUCCUCUGCGCAGUAGUAAAACACUCGCAACAGGAGCCCGGCGCGGUCCACUGCCGUAAAACCCCCCAACUUUUUAUAGUUGACCUCGAAUCAGGUAGGACUACCCGCUGAACUUAAGCAUAUCAAUAAGCGGAGGA
RNAcentral lists this unclassified non-coding RNA (358 nucleotides) under soil metagenome. RNAcentral describes it as "partial contains 5.8S ribosomal RNA, internal transcribed spacer 2, and large subunit ribosomal RNA". The stretch from base 1 to 120 matches the Rfam family "5.8S ribosomal RNA", at positions 35 to 154 of the family's 154-position model. The record is from RNAcentral.